RNAcentral lists this ribosomal RNA (386 nucleotides) under uncultured bacterium. Its description in RNAcentral is "bacterial SSU rRNA". It matches the Rfam family "Bacterial small subunit ribosomal RNA", at positions 28 to 414 of the family's 1533-position model. The record is from RNAcentral.
GACGAACGCUGGCGGCGUGCUUAACACAUGCAAGUCGAGCGGUAAGGCCCUUUCGGGGGUACACGAGCGGCGAACGGGUGAGUAACACGUGGGUGACCUGCCCUCAGCUCUGGGAUAAGCCCGGGAAACUGGGUCUAAUACCGGAUAUGACUCCAUGACGCAUGUUGUGGGGUGGAAAGCCUUGUGCGGCUGAGGAUGGGCCCGCGGCCUAUCAGCUUGUUGGUGGGGUGAUGGCCUACCAAGGCGACGACGGGUAGCCGGCCUGAGAGGGCGACCGGCCACACUGGGACUGAGAUACGGCCCAGACUCCUACGGGAGGCAGCGAGUGGGGAAUCUUGCGCAAUGGGCGAAAGCCUGACGCAGCGACGCCGCGUGAGGGAUGACGG